GACGAACGCUGGCGGCGUGCCUAAUACAUGCAAGUAGAACGCUGAAGAGAGGAGCUUGCUCUUCUUGGAUGAGUUGCGAACGGGUGAGUAACGCGUAGGUAACCUGCCUUGUAGCGGGGGAUAACUAUUGGAAACGAUAGCUAAUACCGCAUAACAAUGGAUGACACAUGUCAUUUAUUUGAAAGGGGCAAUUGCUCCACUACAAGAUGGACCUGCGUUGUAUUAGCUAGUAGGUGAGGUAAUGGCUCACCUAGGCGACGAUACAUAGCCGACCUGAGAGGGUGAUCGGCCACACUGGGACUGAGACACGGCCCAGACUCCUACGGGAGGCAGCAGUAGGGAAUCUUCGGCAAUGGGGGCAACCCUGACCGAGCAACGCCGCGUGAGUGAAGAAGGUUUUCGGAUCGUAAAGCUCUGUUGUAAGUCAAGAACGGGUGUGAGAGUGGAAAGUUCACACUAUGACGGUAGCUUACCAGAAAGGGACGGCUAACUACGUGCCAGCAGCCGCGGUAAUACGUAGGUCCCGAGCGUUGUCCGGAUUUAUUGGGCGUAAAGCGAGCGCAGGCGGUUUGAUAAGUCUGAAGUUAAAGGCUGUGGCUCAACCAUAGUUCGCUUUGGAAACUGUCAAACUUGAGUGCAGAAGGGGAGAGUGGAAUUCCAUGUGUAGCGGUGAAAUGCGUAGAUAUAUGGAGGAACACCGGUGGCGAAAGCGGCUCUCUGGCCUGUAACUGACGCUGAGGCUCGAAAGCGUGGGGAGCGAACAGGAUUAGAUACCCUGGUAGUCCACGCCGUAAACGAUGAGUGCUAGGUGUUGGAUCCUUUCCGGGAUUCAGUGCCGCAGCUAACGCAUUAAGCACUCCGCCUGGGGAGUACGACCGCAAGGUUGAAACUCAAAGGAAUUGACGGGGGCCCGCACAAGCGGUGGAGCAUGUGGUUUAAUUCGAAGCAACGCGAAGAACCUUACCAGGUCUUGACAUCCCGAUGCUAUUUCUAGAGAUAGAAAGUUACUUCGGUACAUCGGUGACAGGUGGUGCAUGGUUGUCGUCAGCUCGUGUCGUGAGAUGUUGGGUUAAGUCCCGCAACGAGCGCAACCCCUAUUGUUAGUUGCCAUCAUUCAGUUGGGCACUCUAGCGAGACUGCCGGUAAUAAACCGGAGGAAGGUGGGGAUGACGUCAAAUCAUCAUGCCCCUUAUGACCUGGGCUACACACGUGCUACAAUGGUUGGUACAACGAGUUGCGAGUCGGUGACGGCGAGCUAAUCUCUUAAAGCCAAUCUCAGUUCGGAUUGUAGGCUGCAACUCGCCUACAUGAAGUCGGAAUCGCUAGUAAUCGCGGAUCAGCACGCCGCGGUGAAUACGUUCCCGGGCCUUGUACACGCCGCCCGUCACACCACGAGAGUUUGUAACACCCGAAGUCGGUGAGGUAACCUUUUGGAGCCAGCCGCCUAAGGUGGGACAGAUGA
This 1462-nucleotide ribosomal RNA is filed under the name uncultured organism. RNAcentral describes it as "16S ribosomal RNA". It matches the Rfam family "Bacterial small subunit ribosomal RNA". The record is from RNAcentral.